AUACGGGGGGUGCAAGCGUUGUUCGGAUUCACUGGGUAUAAAGGGUGCGCAGGCGGCUUGGUAAGUCACAGGUGAAAUUCGUCGGCUCAACCGACGGACUGCCCGUGAAACUGCCUCGCUUGAGUCCGGGAGAGGAAGGUGGAAUUCCAGGUGUAGCGGUGAAAUGCGUAAAUAUCUGGAGGAACACCGGUGGCGAAGGCGGCCUUCUGGCCCGGAACUGACGCUCAGGCACGAAAGCUAGGGGAGC
Molecule: ribosomal RNA, 247 nt
Filed under: uncultured bacterium
Lineage: Bacteria
Description: partial 16S ribosomal RNA
Rfam family: Bacterial small subunit ribosomal RNA
Source: RNAcentral